This 779-nucleotide ribosomal RNA is filed under the name uncultured bacterium. RNAcentral describes it as "bacterial SSU rRNA". It matches the Rfam family "Bacterial small subunit ribosomal RNA", at positions 28 to 792 of the family's 1533-position model. The record is from RNAcentral.
AAUGAACGCUGGCGGCGUGCUUUACACAUGCAAGUCGAGCGAGGCCUGGGGGCAACCCCGGAGUCGAGCGGCGAACGGGUGGAGUAACGCGUGGAUGACCUGCCCUUUAGUGGGGAACAACCAGGGGGAAACUCUGGCUAAUACCGCAUACGACCGGAAGGUGAAAGGGGCUCGCAAGGGCUCUCGCUGAAGGAGGGUCCGCGUCCGAUUAGCUAGUUGGUAGGGUAAUGGCCUACCAAGGCGACGAUCGGUAGCCGGCCUGAGAGGGUGAUCGGCCACACUGGAACUGAGACACGGUCCAGACUCCUACGGGAGGCAGCAGUGGGGAAUUUUGCGCAAUGGGCUAACGCCUGACGCAGCAACGCCGCGUGGAGGAUGAAGGUCUUUGGAUUGUAAAACUCCUGUCAGCGGGGGAAAAAAGGGGCACCCCGACCUCAUACGUCGGGAACUUGAUUGUACCCCGCAGAGGAAGCCCCCGGCUAACUCUGUGCCAGCAGCCGCGGUAAUACAGAGGGGGCAAGCGUUAUUCGGAAUUAUUGGGCGUAAAGGGCGCGUAGGCGGCUUUUCAAGUGGCGGGUGAAAUCCCUCGGCUUAACCGAGGAACUGCCUGCCAGACUGGAAGGCUCGAGACCGGGAGAGGUGAGUGGAAUUCCCAGUGUAGCGGUGAAAUGCGUAGAUAUUGGGAGGAACACCAGUGGCGAAGGCGGCUCACUGGACCGGAACUGACGCUGAGGCGCGAAAGCGUGGGGGAGCAAAACAGGAUUUNGAUACCCCUGGUA